AUAAGGGCGCACGGUGGAUGCCUUGGCACUAGGAGCCGAUGAAGGACGGGACUAACACCGAUAUGCUUUGGGGAGCUGUACGUAAGCUAUGAUCCAGAGAUUUCCGAAUGGGGGAACCCAGCAUCUUUUAUAGGAUGUUACGUUUGCGUGAAUACAUAGCGCAUUCGAGGUAGACGCAGAGAACUGAAACAUCUAAGUACCUGCAGGAAGAGAAAGAAAAUUCGAUUCCCUGAGUAGCGGCGAGCGAAACGGGAAAAGCCCAAACCAAUGAGCUUGCUCAUUGGGGUUGUAGGACUCCAAUAUGGUAGUUCUUUCAGAUAGUCGAAUGACUUGGAAAAGUCAGUCAAAGAGGGUAAAAACCCCGUAGAUGAAAUUUGGAAGGCACCUAGGAGGAUCCUGAGUACGGCGGAACACGAGGAAUUCCGUCGGAAUCCGGGAGGACCAUCUCCCAAGGCUAAAUACUCCCUAGUGACCGAUAGUGAACCAGUACCGUGAGGGAAAGGUGAAAAGCACCCCGGAAGGGGAGUGAAAUAGAACCUGAAACCGUGUGCCUACAACAAGUCAAAGCCCGUUAAUGGGUGAUGGCGUGCCUUUUGUAGAAUGAACCGGCGAGUUACGAUUGCAUGCGAGGUUAAGUUGAAGAGACGGAGCCGCAGCGAAAGCGAGUCUGAAUAGGGCGUUUGAGUAUGUAGUCGUAGACCCGAAACCAUGUGAUCUACCCAUGUCCAGGUUGAAGGUGCGGUAAAACGCACUGGAGGACCGAACCCACGUACGUUGAAAAGUGCGGGGAUGAGGUGUGGGUAGCGGAGAAAUUCCAAACGAACUUGGAGAUAGCUGGUUCUCUCCGAAAUAGCUUUAGGGCUAGCCUCGGAAUUGAGAAUGAUGGAGGUAGAGCACUGUUUGGACUAGGGGCCCAUCUCGGGUUACCGAAUUCAGAUAAACUCCGAAUGCCAUUCAUUCAUAUCCGGGAGUCAGACUGUGAGUGAUAAGAUCCAUAG
Molecule: ribosomal RNA, 998 nt
Filed under: Enterococcus hirae
Lineage: Bacteria; Bacillati; Bacillota; Bacilli; Lactobacillales; Enterococcaceae
Description: partial 23S ribosomal RNA
Rfam family: Bacterial large subunit ribosomal RNA
Source: RNAcentral